UAAUAUUUUUUUAUUAAAUUAUAUGAGUCA
Molecule: non-coding RNA, 30 nt
Filed under: Rattus norvegicus (Norway rat)
Lineage: Eukaryota; Metazoa; Chordata; Mammalia; Rodentia; Muridae
Source: RNAcentral